CGGUAAAAGCUCAAAUUUGAAAUCUGGCUCUUUUAGAGUCCGAAUUGUAAUUUAGAGAAGUGCUAUCCGCGCUGGACCGUGUACAAGUCUCCUGGAAUGGAGCGUCAUAGAGGGUGAGAAUCCCGUCUUUGACACGGACUACCAGGGCAUUGUGAUACGCUCUC
This 164-nucleotide ribosomal RNA is filed under the name Mycena sp. RNAcentral's name for it is "partial large subunit ribosomal RNA". It matches the Rfam family "Eukaryotic large subunit ribosomal RNA", at positions 99 to 258 of the family's 3401-position model. The record is from RNAcentral. Lineage: Eukaryota; Fungi; Basidiomycota; Agaricomycetes; Agaricales; Mycenaceae.